This 507-nucleotide ribosomal RNA is filed under the name uncultured bacterium. Its description in RNAcentral is "bacterial SSU rRNA". It matches the Rfam family "Bacterial small subunit ribosomal RNA", at positions 1000 to 1509 of the family's 1533-position model. The record is from RNAcentral.
GGUGAGAGCCGGGGUGCCGAAAGGGAACGGGAACACAGGUGCUGCAUGGCUGUCGUCAGCUCGUGUCGUGAGAUGUUGGGUUAAGUCCCGCAACGAGCGCAACCCUUGUCAUUAGUUGCUACAUUCAGUUGGGCACUCUAAUGAGACUGCCGGUGACAAACCGGAGGAAGGUGGGGAUGACGUCAAGUCCUCAUGGCCCUUAUGGGUAGGGCUUCACACGUAAUACAAUGGCGCGUACAGAGGGUUGCCAAGGAGCGAUCUGGAGCCAAUCCCGCAAAGCGCGUCGUAGUCCGGAUUGCAGUCUGCAACUCGACUGCAUGAAGUCGGAAUCGCUAGUAAUCGCGGAUCAGCAUGUCGCGGUGAAUACGUUCCCGGGUCUUGUACACACCGCCCGUCACACCAUGGGAGUGGGUUUCACCAGAAGCCGGUCGCCUAACCGCAAGGGGGGCGCCGACCACGGUGAGAUUCAUGACUGGGGUGAAGUCGUAACAAGGUAGGCGUAGUGCU